UACGAAGGUGGCAAGCGUUACUCGGAAUUACUAGGCGUAAAGGGCAGGUAGGUGGUUUGGUUAGUCUGUUGUGAAAGCUCCUUGCUUAACGGGGAGAGGUCAACAGAUACUGCCAGACUUGAGUAUGGGAGAGGGUACUGGAAUUCCGGUGUAGCGGUGAAAUGCGCAGAGAUCGGGAAGAACGCCGGCGGCGAAAGCGACUCUCUGGUCGGAUCCGUGGCGCUGAGGCACGAAAAGCUAGGGGAGCAAACAGGG
Molecule: ribosomal RNA, 255 nt
Filed under: uncultured bacterium
Lineage: Bacteria
Description: partial 16S ribosomal RNA
Rfam family: Bacterial small subunit ribosomal RNA
Source: RNAcentral